RNAcentral lists this ribosomal RNA (326 nucleotides) under uncultured Planctomycetota bacterium. Its description in RNAcentral is "bacterial SSU rRNA". It matches the Rfam family "Bacterial small subunit ribosomal RNA", at positions 29 to 351 of the family's 1533-position model. The record is from RNAcentral. Lineage: Bacteria; Pseudomonadati; Planctomycetota.
AAUGAACGUUGGCGGCGUGGAUUAGGCAUGCAAGUCGAGCGGGAAAUCGUUGAUUGAAACUUCGGUUGAUUGAGACGGUGGAAAGCGGCGGACGGGAGAGUAAUGCGUAGAGUACCUGCCCUUAAGUCUGGGAUAGCCACGGGAAACUGUGGGUAAUACCAGAUAAUAUCUCCGGAUCAAAGGUGUGAUUCCGCUUAAGGAUGGCUCUGCGUCCUAUUAGCUUGUUGGUGGGGUAACGGCCUACCAAGGCUACGAUGGGUACCGGUGUGAGAGCAUGACCCGGCUCACUGGGACUGAGACACUGCCCAGACACCUACGGGUGGCUG